CGAAAGCCUGACGGAGCAAGACCGCGUGAGGGAGGAAGGCUCUUGGGUUGUAAACCUCUUUUCUCAGGGAAGAAGCUCUGACGGUACCUGAGGAAUCAGCAUCGGCUAACUCCGUGCCAGCAGCCGCGGUAAUACGGGGGAUGCAAGCGUUAUCCGGAAUUAUUGGGCGUAAAGCGUCCGUAGGCGGCUAGAUAAGUCUGUUGUUAAAGCGUGCAGCUCAACUGCAUACGGGCAAUGGAAACUAUUUAGCUAGAGUGUGGUAGGGGUAGAGGGAAUUCCCGGUGUAGCGGUGAAAUGCGUAGAUAUCGGGAAGAACACCAGUGGCGAAAGCGCUCUGCUGGGCCACAACUGACGCUGAUGGACGAAAGCUAGGGGAGCG
RNAcentral lists this ribosomal RNA (379 nucleotides) under uncultured cyanobacterium. Its description in RNAcentral is "bacterial SSU rRNA". It matches the Rfam family "Bacterial small subunit ribosomal RNA", at positions 376 to 770 of the family's 1533-position model. The record is from RNAcentral. Lineage: Bacteria; Bacillati; Cyanobacteriota.